This 254-nucleotide ribosomal RNA is filed under the name uncultured bacterium. Its description in RNAcentral is "partial 16S ribosomal RNA". It matches the Rfam family "Bacterial small subunit ribosomal RNA", at positions 524 to 776 of the family's 1533-position model. The record is from RNAcentral.
UACAGAGGUCUCAAGCGUUGUUCGGAUUCAUUGGGCGUAAAGGGUGCGUAGGCGGCGCGGUAAGUCGGGUGUGAAAUCUCGGAGCUUAACUCCGAAACUGCAUUCGAUACUGCCGUGCUUUGAGGACUGGAGAGGAGACUGGAAUUUACGGUGUAGCGGUGAAAUGCGUAGAUAUCGUAAGGAAGACCAGUGGCGAAGGCGGGUCUCUGGACAGUUCCUGACGCUGAGGCACGAAGGCCAGGGGAGCAAACAGG